RNAcentral lists this ribosomal RNA (297 nucleotides) under uncultured microorganism. Its description in RNAcentral is "partial 16S ribosomal RNA". It matches the Rfam family "Bacterial small subunit ribosomal RNA", at positions 505 to 796 of the family's 1533-position model. The record is from RNAcentral.
GUGCCAGCAGCCGCGGUAAUACGGAGGAUGCGAGCGUUAUCCGGAUUUAUUGAGUUUAAAGGGUGCGCAGGCGGGAUUUUAAGUCAGCGGUGAAAUUUUCAGGCUCAACCUGAACACUGCCGUUGAAACUGGGAUUCUUGAGUAUGGAUGAAGUAGGCGGAAUUCGUUGUGUAGCCGGUGACAUGCUUAGAUAUAACGAGGGAACUCCCGAUUGCGUAGGCAGCUUACUAAGCCAUAACCUGNCGCUCAAGCACGAAAGCNUGGGGGAUCAAACAGGAUUAGAUACCCUGGUAGUCC